Non-coding RNA from Homo sapiens (human), 149 nucleotides. It matches the Rfam family "Metazoan signal recognition particle RNA". From Rfam's summary of the family: The signal recognition particle (SRP) is a universally conserved ribonucleoprotein. It is involved in the co-translational targeting of proteins to membranes. The eukaryotic SRP consists of a 300-nucleotide 7S RNA and six proteins: SRPs 72, 68, 54, 19, 14, and 9. Lineage: Eukaryota; Metazoa; Chordata; Mammalia; Primates; Hominidae. The record is from Rfam.
GCCAGGUGUGGUGGCUCACACCUGUAAUCCCAGCUACUCAGGAGGCUGAGGCACAAGAAUCACUUGAACCCAGGAGGGCAGAGGUUGCGGUGAGCCAAGAUCAUGCCACUGCACUUCAGCCUGGGUGACGGAGAGAGACUCUGUCUCAA